ACUCUGCGUCUGACUAGAAUAUAUCUCGCACCUAAUUUGGGUUCGAAUGGUUCGAAAUGAUUUUUUGAAGGUUGUAAAAUAUACGUAUUUGACGCAGAAAAUACGCUUCAUAUGCAAACAUGUACUCCUCCACAUUUAUCGCGAUAACAUUUGGUGUUACCGUAAAGCAAAAUUCUACGUAGAACUGCUUCGAUAUUAAAGACUCUAUAAUGAGUUUUCUGUUCAAUCUUCUGAAGGGUGCCUUUUUGAGAAUGUUGCAGUUGAUUUGGUUCGGAAAACGAAAGAUAUCGAACUCGUUGAGUAUCUACGUGAAAACUAACACGGGAAAUACGCUCUCCAUUGAUUUGGAUCCGAAAUGGGACAUCAGAAACCUAAAAGAGAUCGUCGGGCCUCAGCUUGGCAUAUCUCCCGAAGAUAUCAAGAUCAUAUUUGCUGGUAAAGAGUUGCACAAUUCCACGAUAAUAGAGGAAUGCGAUCUUGGUCAGCAAAGUAUUUUGCAUGCCAUAAAAUUGCCACCCGGAAAAAAUCGCCUUAAUAGAAAAAAAGAUACUAAAAAUCUUAUCGAAGAAUCUAUAGAUGAAGGAUCGGAAGCAAAUGAAAGUGGAAGCAAACCUCUGAACGAAACUUUGAUCGACUUACCAUUGGAGGAUUCGGACCGUCAUGAAAAUCACAGCGAGCAGGAGCAGCAACAAGCCCGUGCCCAUUUUUACGUUUACUGUUCGCUGCCAUGUAAAUCAGUGGAAGCAGGAAAGCUGAGAGUGAGAUGCGCGACAUGUGGUAGCGGGGCUGUGACUGUGGAUCGAGACCCUCAGUGUUGGCCUGACGUGCAGCAGCCUCGUAGAAUAACUGUACAUUGUGAGAAUCACGAUUGUCAGACAUUACUGUCUUCCUUAGCACAGAAGGAUGAAGGUACUCCUCAAGUGAGAUACGCGCAGUUUUAUUUCAAGUGCGCCAAUCACGUGAGUCUUGGAGAAAAAGAUGAGGCGGUACCGCUUUAUUUGAUUAAACCAAAUCUGAGAAAUGUACCUUGUCUGGCUUGCACGGAUACAAGGGACACGGUACUGGUUUUCCCUUGCGAGGCUGGACAUGUAACCUGCCUGGACUGCUUCCGGGACUAUUGCGUGGCUCGUCUGCGGGAUCGUCAGUUUGAGUUUGACGACAACCACGGAUACUAUACCUUGCCAUGUCCGGCUGGUUGCCAAAAUUCGCACAUAUCCGAAGUUCAUCACUUCCGUCUUCUCUCACCUGAGCAGUAUGAGCAGUACCAACGAUUUGGAACUGAGGAAUACGUUCUAAGGGCAGGAGGACUUCUGUGCCCGAGGCCUGAUUGCGGAAUGGGAAUUAUUCCACCUGAUCAGACUGAUGAGGAGCGUAGUCGAUCCCCGGAUGAGGACGACUGUCGUAGAAUUCAAUGUAUUGGUGGUUGUGGGUAUGUUUUCUGUAGGCGAUGCUUGCAAGGUUUCCACGUAGGUGAAUGUGACUCACAACAGCCUACGACGUAUUCUUCUACCUCCGCCGUCUCCUGUCUUUCAGGCUAUGCAAUUGAUCCUCUGCGAGCUAGCGAGGCCAAGUGGGACGAAGCGAGUAAGAAGACCAUUCAAAUAUCGACGAAACCAUGUCCGAAAUGUAGAACACCGACUGAACGAGAUGGUGGCUGUAUGCACAUGGUUUGUACAAGAGCUGGCUGUAGUUUCCAGUGGUGCUGGGUUUGUCAGACGGAAUGGACGAGAGACUGUAUGGGAAGUCAUUGGUUCGGAUGAUGUUCUGAAACUAUUUAUAUCAGCAAUUGUUUAUGCUGUGAUGGGAUCAGGUUAAUGCAACUUCGAAAGCCAGAGUAAUUUUAAUCCAAAGUUGAGGAUUUUACGGUACGUACGACGCGAGCCAACGAGAGUGAGAGAGACCGCCAACAAAGCUUGUGUACUUGAGGGGCGCAUGUCUGUGUGUACGAAAAUGGCAGGAACUACCUUAAUGCUGUCCUGGGAGACGAUAAUCUUCUGUAAUCCUAUGCUAAUUACCUAUAAUUAUCCUAUUCGUAGCCGUAUCUUAUUUACAGGCGACAAGAAUUCGCCAGACAUUCUUUCAAAUGGACGGAUUUUGUUCCGACUUACGUAGGUAUUACUACCGACUUCAACUACCGUAAAAUUAUUGUAAUUUACGUGUGUGUGCCUCCUCAAUUGCAUUAUAACAGUAACAAUCAUCUCUUUACUAUCGUAUACUGUCGUCUCGGUUUUAUCGAUAACAAUUACGUUAACAUUUAUAAUGUGCGUAUUUGAAAAAUUUGAGGUAUAAUAUUACAGGAACAAGGGUGAAGUAAAACGUUUACGGUGUAGUCAAACAUUAAAGUUGAGAUUUGUUUGUGAGAGUGGGAGUGAUAGAAUUAAAAGUUUUUAGUCUUAGUUAUAUUUGACCGGAAUCAUACAGUAAACGCGCGCGUCUUCUACACAGUUUGAAUAUUUCACGUUAAAAAUGGAAACUAUCUUCUCCUGCAGCCUGCAGUGUUUUUUAAAAUAAGCAUCUACCUUCGAGCUCUAUAUUUGUCGCGCGAGCCUCGAUGAA
This 2556-nucleotide unclassified non-coding RNA is filed under the name Neodiprion lecontei (redheaded pine sawfly). RNAcentral's name for it is "e3 ubiquitin-protein ligase parkin, transcript variant X2". Lineage: Eukaryota; Metazoa; Arthropoda; Insecta; Hymenoptera; Diprionidae. The record is from RNAcentral.